AAUCACCGCCCCAGCCUCCGAUCGCGACAGAGGGGGACCGUUUCGAUGGUUUAGGCGAAAAAGGUUAGUCCUUUUCCCCUUUUUACUUUCAUAUGCACAGAAACAAACAAAAAUAAAAGAAAACAAAAAAAAUUCUAAUAAGUCACCUUAAAACUGAUAUUUGCUCUCUAUUGAUUUUUCUCUGUGAUUUUUACAUGUCCCCCCCCCACUUUACACUGACCUUUCACGACUUUAAAUAGUCGAAAUAGAAAAGAGAGCAAAAAACAAAAAUCACAAAAGAUAAUUCUGUUUGGCAUUGUCCCCGA
RNAcentral lists this long non-coding RNA (305 nucleotides) under Gossypium raimondii (Peruvian cotton). RNAcentral describes it as "long non-coding RNA (GRAI_LNC008682)". Lineage: Eukaryota; Viridiplantae; Streptophyta; Magnoliopsida; Malvales; Malvaceae. The record is from RNAcentral.